GACCUAACCCGUCAGCUUCGGCUGUCGGUAUGGUUGUAAAUACCCGCUAGAGAUUAAAGGACUCCCAGUCAGAGUCACUCUAGCGGGUCAUAUCUGGAAACGGGUAUGGGUCUGACCGAAAGGUUGGAUC
RNAcentral lists this small RNA (130 nucleotides) under unclassified sequences. RNAcentral's name for it is "LOOT RNA". It matches the Rfam family "LOOT RNA". From Rfam's summary of the family: Latescibacteria, OD1/Parcubacteria, OP11, TM7. The record is from Rfam by way of RNAcentral.